RNAcentral lists this transfer RNA (70 nucleotides) under Trichonephila clavata. RNAcentral's name for it is "tRNA-Arg". It matches the Rfam family "tRNA". Rfam says of the family: Transfer RNA (tRNA) molecules are approximately 80 nucleotides in length. Their secondary structure includes four short double-helical elements and three loops (D, anti-codon, and T loops). Further hydrogen bonds mediate the characteristic L-shaped molecular structure. tRNAs have two regions of fundamental functional importance: the anti-codon, which is responsible for specific mRNA codon recognition, and the 3' end, to which the tRNAs corresponding amino acid is attached (by aminoacyl-tRNA synthetases). tRNAs cope with the degeneracy of the genetic code in two manners: having more than one tRNA (with a specific anti-codon) for a particular amino acid; and 'wobble' base-pairing, i.e. permitting non-standard base-pairing at the 3rd anti-codon position. Lineage: Eukaryota; Metazoa; Arthropoda; Arachnida; Araneae; Nephilidae. The record is from RNAcentral.
CCCUGUAGCGCAAUAGAUAGCGCGUUGGACUUCUAAUCAGAAGGUCGUGGCUUCAUUACCAUCAGGAAGG